Molecule: ribosomal RNA, 305 nt
Filed under: uncultured bacterium
Lineage: Bacteria
Description: partial 16S ribosomal RNA
Rfam family: Bacterial small subunit ribosomal RNA
Source: RNAcentral
UCCUACGGGGGGCAGCAGUGGGGGAUAUUGCACAAUGGGGGGAACCCUGAUGCAGCGACGCCGCGUGGGUGAAGAAGCGCCUCGGCGCGUAAAGCCCUGUCAGCAGGGAAGAAAAUGGCGGUACCUGAAGAAGAAGCCCCGGCUAACUACGUGCCAGCAGCCGCGGUAAUACGUAGGGGGCAAGCGUUAUCCGGAUUUACUGGGUGUAAAGGGGGCGCAGACGGCGAUGCAAGCCAGGAGUGAAAGCCCGGGGCCCAACCCCGGGACUGCUCUUGGAACUGCGUGGCUGGAGUGCAGGAGGGGCG